This 31-nucleotide non-coding RNA is filed under the name Trichobilharzia regenti. Lineage: Eukaryota; Metazoa; Platyhelminthes; Trematoda; Strigeidida; Schistosomatidae. The record is from RNAcentral.
GACGAGUCCCAAAUAGGACGAAAUGCGCGUC